CGAGGAGCUUGCUUCUCUGACGUUAGCGGCGCACUGGUGAGUAACACGUGGAUAACCUACCUAUAAGACUGGGAUAACUUCGGGAAACCGGAGCUAAUACCGGAUAAUAUAUUGAACCGCAUGGUUCAAUAGUGAAAGACGGUUUUGCUGUCACUUAUAGAUGGAUCCGCGCCGCAUUAGCUAGUUGGUAAGGUAGCGGCUUACCAAGGCAACGAUGCGUAGCCGACCUGAGAGGGUGAUCGGCCACACUGGAACUGAGACACGGUCCAGACUCCUACGGGAGGCAGCAGUAGGGAAUCUUCCGCAAUGGGCGAAAGCCUGACGGAGCAACGCCGCGUGAGUGAUGAAGGUCUUCGGAUCGUAAAACUCUGUUAUUAGGGAAGAACAAAUGUGUAAGUAACUAUGCACGUCUUGACGGUACCUAAUCAGAAAGCCACGGCUAACUACGUGCCAGCAGCCGCGGUAAUACGUAGGUGGCAAGCGUUGUCCGGAAUUAUUGGGCGUAAAGCGCGCGCAGGCGGAUAGGCCAGUCUGUCUUAAAAGUUCGGGGCUUAACCCCGUGAUGGGAUGGAAACUGCCAAUCUAGAGUAUCGGAGAGGAAAGUGGAAUUCCUAGUGUAGCGGUGAAAUGCGUAGAUAUUAGGAAGAACACCAGUGGCGAAGGCGACUUUCUGGACGAAAACUGACGCUGAGGCGCGAAA
RNAcentral lists this ribosomal RNA (700 nucleotides) under uncultured bacterium. RNAcentral's name for it is "bacterial SSU rRNA". It matches the Rfam family "Bacterial small subunit ribosomal RNA", at positions 72 to 758 of the family's 1533-position model. The record is from RNAcentral.